RNAcentral lists this ribosomal RNA (244 nucleotides) under uncultured Planctomycetales bacterium. RNAcentral's name for it is "partial 16S ribosomal RNA". It matches the Rfam family "Bacterial small subunit ribosomal RNA", at positions 442 to 677 of the family's 1533-position model. Lineage: Bacteria; Pseudomonadati; Planctomycetota; Planctomycetia; Planctomycetales. The record is from RNAcentral.
GUUAGGAAAUGCAAGGGUGUAAAUAGCAUCCUUGCUUGACUAAGGCUCCAGAGGAAGCCACGGCUAACUCUGUGCCAGCAGCCGCGGUAAUACAGAGGUGGCAAGCGUUGUUCGGAAUUAUUGGGCGUAAAGAGCACGUAGGCGGCUCUGCAAGUCAGCUGUGAAAGCCUUCUGCUUAACGGAAGAACAGCAGUUGAUACUACAGAGCUGGAGUGCGGGAGGGGAGAGUGGAACUUCUGGUAAU